This 463-nucleotide ribosomal RNA is filed under the name uncultured bacterium. RNAcentral describes it as "partial 16S ribosomal RNA". It matches the Rfam family "Bacterial small subunit ribosomal RNA", at positions 28 to 507 of the family's 1533-position model. The record is from RNAcentral.
GAUGAACGCUGACAGAAUGCUUAACACAUGCAAGUCUUUGGCGAAGCUGUGCUUGCACAGCCUAGCCAAGGCGGACGGGUGAGUAACGCGUAAGGAACUUGCCCUGCAGUCAGGGAUAACAGACGGAAACGACUGAUAAGACCUGGUAAAGUCAGGCGGACUCAUGUCCAGCCUGAUGAAAAGAGAUGCUGCAGGAGAGCCUUGCGUCCUAUUAGCUUGUUGGUGGGGUAACGGCCCACCAAGGCGAUGAUAGGUAGCCGGCCUGAGAGGGUGGACGGCCACAAGGGGACUGAGAUACGGCCCUUACUCCUACGGGAGGCAGCAGUGGGGAAUAUUGGACAAUGGAGGCAACCCUGAUCCAGCAAUUCUGUGUGCACGAUGAAGGUUUUCGGAUUGUAAAGUGCUUUCAGCAGGGAAGAAAAAAAUGACGGUACCUGCAGAAGAGACGACGGCUAAAUACGUG